GGGGCAUUCAUGCAGGACCACCAUAGCACCAAGUUCCUUUCUUGCUAUAUCUUGAUCAAAGGUGUAGUUCUCCACUAAAACUUUCCCUGAAUCUGUGGUAGUGAACCUCAAUGACACUUGUGACAAUGUCUUGUUUCCGAACAGAUGAAUCUUUCUAAGUGUAAAAAUCUUUAAGUGAUCAUGAAGGUGCUUAGUUCCACUCCUUGUUUCUUCUUCAAGCUUUCUGGAGCAAUACAUGCACUUCGUCUUUAUUUUGCCAUUCCAUCUCAUUGUCUUGAAUUCCUUCUAAACAACUCAGGUUGAUCAGCUUCCUCUUCGAACCCACCUCGACACCAUCUUCUUCUUCCUCUUCAACCUCC
Molecule: long non-coding RNA, 359 nt
Filed under: Setaria viridis
Lineage: Eukaryota; Viridiplantae; Streptophyta; Magnoliopsida; Poales; Poaceae
Description: long non-coding RNA (SVIR_LNC007621)
Source: RNAcentral